UACGUAGGGGGCAAGCGUUGUCCGGAAUCAUUGGGCGUAAAGCGCGUGUAGGCGGUCCGGUAAGUCGGCUGUGAAAGUCCAGGGCUCAACCCUGGGAUGCCGGUCGAUACUGCCGGACUAGAGUUCGGAAGAGGCGAGUGGAAUUCCCGGUGUAGCGGUGAAAUGCGCAGAAAUCGGGAGGAACACCAAUGGCGAAGGCAGCUCGCUGGGACGUUACUGACGCUGAGACGCGAAAGCGUGGGGAGCAAACAGG
This 253-nucleotide ribosomal RNA is filed under the name uncultured bacterium. Its description in RNAcentral is "partial 16S ribosomal RNA". It matches the Rfam family "Bacterial small subunit ribosomal RNA", at positions 524 to 776 of the family's 1533-position model. The record is from RNAcentral.